This 820-nucleotide small RNA is filed under the name uncultured Basidiomycota. RNAcentral describes it as "eukaryotic LSU rRNA". The stretch from base 245 to 398 matches the Rfam family "5.8S ribosomal RNA". The record is from RNAcentral. Lineage: Eukaryota; Fungi; Basidiomycota.
AAGUCGUAACAAGGUUUCCGUAGGUGAACCUGCGGAAGGAUCAUUAUUGAAUGAACAUAGAGUCGGUUGUAGCUGGCCCCUUUUAACCGGGGGGCAUGUGCACGCCUUCUCUUUUCAUCCAUACACACACCUGUGAACUUGUGAGACGGAUUUCGACCCUCUCCGGGGGGGAAAGGUCCGUCUGCUAUACAUAAACUCCUGAAUAAUAAAUUAGAAUGUAAUCGAUGUAACGCAUCUUUAAACUAAGUUUCAACAACGGAUCUCUUGGCUCUCGCAUCGAUGAAGAACGCAGCGAAAUGCGAUAAGUAAUGUGAAUUGCAGAAUUCAGUGAAUCAUCGAAUCUUUGAACGCACCUUGCGCUCCUUGGUAUUCCUCGGAGCAUGCCUGUUUGAGUAUCAUGAAAUCUUCAAAAUAAAUCUUUUGUUCACUCGAUUGAUUUUAUUUUGGACUUGGAGGCUUGCAGAUUCACGUCUGCUCCUCUUAAAUUUAUUAGCUGGAUCUCGGUGAGCUCGGUUCCACUCGGCGUGAUAAGUAUCACUCGCUGAGGACACUGUAAAAGGUGGCCGGGAUUGCGGAUGAACCGCUUCUAAUAGUCCAUUGACUUGGACAAUAAAUACUUUAUGAUCUGAUCUCAAAUCAGGUAGGACUACCCGCUGAACUUAAGCAUAUUCUUGGUCAUUUUAGAGGAAGUAACAAGGAUUCCCCUAGUAACGGCGAGUGAAGCGGGAAGAGCUCAAAUUUAAAAUCUGGCGGUCUCACCGUCCGAGUUGUAGUCUAGAGAAGCAUCAUCUACGCUGGACCGUGUACAAGUCUCCUGAAU